UCACACAUACACUUUCACUAUUUUUGUUUCUUUUCUUUUUCUUUUACAUCCACAAAUACAAAAUACAAACUAUAAAAAACUGAAUAAAUAAAUAAAAAUACACCAACACACACAACCCUUUUUUUAUUAUUAUUUUCUCUUUCUUUUCUUUUUUUUUACAUCCAUAUUUACACAAAUUCAAAAUAAUUACAAGGAUUACCUUAAUUAAUUUAAAAUUUACAAAAAUAGACCUAAAACUCUAAAAAAACUAUUCUGGGAAGCAAUCUGAUUCUGCUGAACGUUGGCGGCGCGUCUCCCCACGCGCCGCCGCCACUGGCGGCGCGUGAACCCACGCGCCGCCGAAGGAAAAAAAACCCAGCAACAGGGGAGAUCGUCUUCUCCCACUCAUCCUUUCGUCGCCCCUGCAAAGCAAACCUCAACACACAGCAAGCAAUUGAUUUUAAUUUUUGUUUCCUUUGUUUUCGAAAUCUGCUUCGUUUCCUCUUUUUUAGAUCUGCCCCUUUCGUUUCUCUGCCUCCUCUCUUCUCCGUUAGAUCUGCUUCGCUGUGUUCGGGUGGCCGUUGGUGGAGGCGUCGCUGCUUGUGCCGUGGUGGGCACUGUCGGGUGGAUCUGUGACCGUCGGGUCUGUUCGGUGACCCUGUGACCGCUGCUGGGUCGGUACUGGUGUGCUGCAGCUGGCGGUGAACACGGCGUUGAGAGGCAGAUC
This 706-nucleotide long non-coding RNA is filed under the name Populus tremula. RNAcentral's name for it is "long non-coding RNA (PTRE_LNC000115)". Lineage: Eukaryota; Viridiplantae; Streptophyta; Magnoliopsida; Malpighiales; Salicaceae. The record is from RNAcentral.